AACGAACGCUGGCGGCAGGCCUAACACAUGCAAGUCGAACGUGAAGCCACCUUCGGGUGGUGGAGAGUGGCAGACGGGUGAGUAACGCGUGGGAACGUGCCUUUCGGUUCGGGAUAACCCAGGGAAACUUGGGCUACUACGGGAUACGCCCUCCGGGGGAAAGAUUCAUUGCCGAAAGAUCGGCCCGCGUCGGAUUAGCUAGUUGAUUGGUAAAAGCCUACCAAGGCGACGAUCCGUAGCUGGUCUGAGAGGAUGACCAGCCACACUGGGACUGAGACACGGCCCAGACUCCUACGGGAGGCAGCAGUGGGGAAUAUUGGACAAUGGGCGCAAGCCUGAUCCAGCCAUGCCGCGUGGGUGAAGAAGGCCCUAGGGUUGUAAACCCCUUUCAGCGGGGAAGAUAAUGACGGUACCCGCAGAAGAAGCCCCGGCUAACUCCGUGCCAGCCGCCGCAGUAA
This 458-nucleotide ribosomal RNA is filed under the name uncultured bacterium. RNAcentral describes it as "partial 16S ribosomal RNA". It matches the Rfam family "Bacterial small subunit ribosomal RNA", at positions 29 to 523 of the family's 1533-position model. The record is from RNAcentral.